AUGAAGCUCCUAAGUUGGAACUGCCGGGGCCUAGGGCAGCCCCGGACAGUUCAAGAACUGGUGCAACUCGUGAGUGCACACCGCCCGUCUAUCGUUUUUAUUUCGGAAACUAGGCAAAAUAAAGAUAGGGUCAAUGGUCUUAAGUGGAGGCUUGGCCUCAAGAACUGCACACUGCAUGAUGGCAGAGGAAAGGGUGCCGGUAUCGCCUUGUACUGA
This 216-nucleotide ribosomal RNA is filed under the name Triticum aestivum (bread wheat). Its description in RNAcentral is "partial small subunit ribosomal RNA". Lineage: Eukaryota; Viridiplantae; Streptophyta; Magnoliopsida; Poales; Poaceae. The record is from RNAcentral.